RNAcentral lists this ribosomal RNA (446 nucleotides) under uncultured bacterium. RNAcentral describes it as "SSU rRNA". It matches the Rfam family "Bacterial small subunit ribosomal RNA", at positions 26 to 518 of the family's 1533-position model. The record is from RNAcentral.
AGAGUGAACGCUGGCGGCAGGCCUAAUACAUGCAAGUCGAACGGAUUCUUCGGGAUUAGUGGCGGACGGGUGAGUAACACGUGGGAACGUGCCCUUUGGUUCGGAACAACUCAGGGAAACUUGAGCUAAUACCGGAUGUGCCCUUCGGGGGAAAGAUUUAUCGCCAUUGGAGCGGCCCGCGUCUGAUUAGCUAGUUGGUGGGGUAAAGGCCUACCAAGGCUACGAUCAGUAGCUGGUCUGAGAGGAUGAUCAGCCACACUGGGACUGAGACACGGCCCAGACUCCUACGGGAGGCAGCAGUAGGGAAUCUUGCGCAAUGGGCGAAAGCCUGACGCAGCCAUGCCGCGUGAAUGAUGAAGGUCUUAGGAUUGUAAAAUUCUUUCAGUGGGGACGAUAAUGACGGUACCCACAGAAGAAGCCCCGGCUAACUUCGCGCCAGCAGCCGC